ACUAAGCGUACACGGUGGAUGCCCUGGCAGUCAGAGGCGAUGAAGGACGUGCUAAUCUGCGAUAAGCGUCGGUAAGGUGAUAUGAACCGUUAUAACCGGCGAUUUCCGAAUGGGGAAACCCAGUGUGUUUCGACACACUAUCAUUAACUGAAUCCAUAGGUUAAUGAGGCGAACCGGGGGAACUGAAACAUCUAAGUACCCCGAGGAAAAGAAAUCAACCGAGAUUCCCCCAGUAGCGGCGAGCGAACGGGGAGCAGCCCAGAGCCUGAAUCAGUGUGUGUGUUAGUGGAAGCGUCUGGAAAGGCGCGCGAUACAGGGUGACAGCCCCGUACACAAAAAUGCACAUGCUGUGAGCUCGAUGAGUAGGGCGGGACACGUGGUAUCCUGUCUGAAUAUGGGGGACCAUCCUCCAAGGCUAAAUACUCCUGACUGACCGAUAGUGAACCAGUACCGUGAGGGAAAGGCGAAAAGAACCCCGGCGAGGGGAGUGAAAAAGAACCUGAAACCGUGUACGUACAAGCAGUGGGAGCCUCUUUAUGGGGUGACUGCGUACCUUUUGUAUAAUGGGUCAGCGACUUAUAUUCUGUAGCAAGGUUAACCGAAUAGGGGAGCCGAAGGGAAACCGAGUCUUAACUGGGCGUUAAGUUGCAGGGUAUAGACCCGAAACCCGGUGAUCUAGCCAUGGGCAGGUUGAAGGUUGGGUAACACUAACUGGAGGACCGAACCGACUAAUGUUGAAAAAUUAGCGGAUGACUUGUGGCUGGGGGUGAAAGGCCAAUCAAACCGGGAGAUAGCUGGUUCUCCCCGAAAGCUAUUUAGGUAGCGCCUCGUGAAUUCAUCUCCGGGGGUAGAGCACUGUUUCGGCAAGGGGGUCAUCCCGACUUACCAACCCGAUGCAAACUGCGAAUACCGGAGAAUGUUAUCACGGGAGACACACGGCGGGUGCUAACGUCCGUCGUGAAGAGGGAAACAACCCAGACCGCCAGCUAAGGUCCCAAAGUCAUGGUUAAGUGGGAAACGAUGUGGGAAGGCCCAGACAGCCAGGAUGUUGGCUUAGAAGCAGCCAUCAUUUAAAGAAAGCGUAAUAGCUCACUGGUCGAGUCGGCCUGCGCGGAAGAUGUAACGGGGCUAAACCAUGCACCGAAGCUGCGGCAGCGACGCUUAUGCGUUGUUGGGUAGGGGAGCGUUCUGUAAGCCUGUGAAGGUGUGCUGUGAGGCAUGCUGGAGGUAUCAGAAGUGCGAAUGCUGACAUAAGUAACGAUAAAGCGGGUGAAAAGCCCGCUCGCCGGAAGACCAAGGGUUCCUGUCCAACGUUAAUCGGGGCAGGGUGAGUCGACCCCUAAGGCGAGGCCGAAAGGCGUAGUCGAUGGGAAACAGGUUAAUAUUCCUGUACUUGGUGUUACUGCGAAGGGGGGACGGAGAAGGCUAUGUUGGCCGGGCGACGGUUGUCCCGGUUUAAGCGUGUAGGCUGAUUUUCCAGGCAAAUCCGGAAAAUCAAGGCUGAGGCGUGAUGACGAGGCACUACGGUGCUGAAGCAACAAAUGCCCUGCUUCCAGGAAAAGCCUCUAAGCAUCAGGUAACAUCAAAUCGUACCCCAAACCGACACAGGUGGUCAGGUAGAGAAUACCAAGGCGCUUGAGAGAACUCGGGUGAAGGAACUAGGCAAAAUGGUGCCGUAACUUCGGGAGAAGGCACGCUGAUAUGUAGGUGAAGUCCCUCGCGGAUGGAGCUGAAAUCAGUCGAAGAUACCAGCUGGCUGCAACUGUUUAUUAAAAACACAGCACUGUGCAAACACGAAAGUGGACGUAUACGGUGUGACGCCUGCCCGGUGCCGGAAGGUUAAUUGAUGGGGUCAGCGCAAGCGAAGCUCUUGAUCGAAGCCCCGGUAAACGGCGGCCGUAACUAUAACGGUCCUAAGGUAGCGAAAUUCCUUGUCGGGUAAGUUCCGACCUGCACGAAUGGCGUAAUGAUGGCCAGGCUGUCUCCACCCGAGACUCAGUGAAAUUGAACUCGCUGUGAAGAUGCAGUGUACCCGCGGCAAGACGGAAAGACCCCGUGAACCUUUACUAUAGCUUGACACUGAACAUUGAGCCUUGAUGUGUAGGAUAGGUGGGAGGCUUAGAAGUGUGGACGCCAGUCUGCAUGGAGCCGGCCUUGAAAUACCACCCUUUAAUGUUUGAUGUUCUAACGUGGACCCGUAAUCCGGGUUGCGGACAGUGUCUGGUGGGUAGUUUGACUGGGGCGGUCUCCUCCUAAAGAGUAACGGAGGAGCACGAAGGUUGGCUAAUCCUGGUCGGACAUCAGGAGGUUAGUGCAAUGGCAUAAGCCAGCUUGACUGCGAGCGUGACGGCGCGAGCAGGUGCGAAAGCAGGUCAUAGUGAUCCGGUGGUUCUGAAUGGAAGGGCCAUCGCUCAACGGAUAAAAGGUACUCCGGGGAUAACAGGCUGAUACCGCCCAAGAGUUCAUAUCGACGGCGGUGUUUGGCACCUCGAUGUCGGCUCAUCACAUCCUGGGGCUGAAGUAGGUCCCAAGGGUAUGGCUGUUCGCCAUUUAAAGUGGUACGCGAGCUGGGUUUAGAACGUCGUGAGACAGUUCGGUCCCUAUCUGCCGUGGGCGCUGGAGAACUGAGGGGGGCUGCUCCUAGUACGAGAGGACCGGAGUGGACGCAUCACUGGUGUUCGGGUUGUCAUGCCAAUGGCACUGCCCGGUAGCUAAAUGCGGAAGAGAUAAGUGCUGAAAGCAUCUAAGCACGAAACUUGCCCCGAGAUGAGUUCUCCCUGACUCCUUGAGAGUCCUGAAGGAACGUUGAAGACGACGACGUUGAUAGGCCGGGUGUGUAAGCGCAGCGAUGCGUUGAGCUAACCGGUACUAAUGAACCGUGAGGCUUAACC
Molecule: ribosomal RNA, 2891 nt
Filed under: Shigella boydii
Lineage: Bacteria; Pseudomonadati; Pseudomonadota; Gammaproteobacteria; Enterobacterales; Enterobacteriaceae
Description: bacterial LSU rRNA
Rfam family: Bacterial large subunit ribosomal RNA
Source: RNAcentral